Molecule: long non-coding RNA, 1412 nt
Organism: Pocillopora damicornis (cauliflower coral)
Lineage: Eukaryota; Metazoa; Cnidaria; Anthozoa; Scleractinia; Pocilloporidae
Source: RefSeq, a predicted model, not a curated record
UUAGUUAAAAACAAUUGUGGAAGCUAGUUGAAAAGUUACCGAAACACAAUUGCUUCUUUCCUCCAACUAAAAAUACACGAUAACUUUGUGGCCUAGUAAGUUUCAUUUUAUCGUCUCAAAAAUAUUUGUUAGCGACACUUUUUUAGCAUGAUCAAUAUCUGCUGUUCAUGACGUAAUGAUUACGUAAUCGUACAAAUGUACAUUUUCACAAUAUUUAAGGAUUUUAAAAGUAGUGAUAAUUCUUCCCCUAAAAAUGGUAAGUACAGAUUAUGGGAAAAAAAUUUCUUAUUCUCAAGAUACGGUGGACUUAUUGGUGAGCGAUCACACAGAAUGCAUUCUCGAUAAUAUCAUGGAAAUUGAAAUGCGGAACUUCGAUUAACGGUGCGUAACUAGCAAACAACAUCACUAAACUUUCGUGGUAGAAAUGUAGCUAGAAUUCCUAUCUACUACAAGAGAAACGAAGGACGUAAUUUUCCGUAUUUCAUAAGAUCGCUUGUAAGUAUCUAUUUGGAAUCAUACAUUUAGAGAAGAUGACUCCCAAUAGACUUGAAAUUAUAAGAGUGUUAUUAAUACCUGAGGACAAAAUAUACAAAUUAAAAGGUUUGCGUAAGAAGUAAGGUGACUGAAUAAUUCUUCUGUCUUGCCUUAAAAAGUAAGAAGGAAAAACGCGAUUUUUGCGGAAUUGGGUCACAGACCGCGGUUUUGCCGCAAGAAACUGGAAAUUAUAGCAACUAUGACCAAGCCUUAGCUUCGAGUAAACAGGAAAACAAACAAACCAAUUCCAUCAAGAGACGAACACAAUUGACGUUACUUCAAAAAUAAUUAGCGAGUCUCAAAGUCCACUUGUUGCCACAAAUUACGUAAAUGGUCUUCCUGAAUAAAUUUCACACACGCAUAAAUAUAACAUCUUUAGAAACGGCUGAGCGCUGGAGUAUUUUGCUUCCUCGAUCUGUAAAUCCUUUGAGACACUGCUUGAUGACGAAGCCUCCAGUUGAAUGGGACAACAGAACUGUUCCGAAGGUCGACUUCUGUGAAAAGCAAUAUUUCUUUUUACAGAAGAGAGGUUUUUUGUCUCAUGACCGGAGAACCAAGGGUGAGACUAGUUGACCAUUGAAACCUGGCCAAUGUGGGGAGGUUUUCACAUGAAAUAAAAAAUGUUGGCAGCUGUGGAGAGGUUUACAUGUAUUGAGUGAGCUUUUACUUUGUGGCUUAGAGGAAGAGCAUCUACAAGACUGAAGGGCUUUGAAUUUCAAUUCCUUGUAUGGAACUCUGAUUUUUUGUUUCCACGUCAUGAUAGAUAAAUUCAUCAAGUCUUACCUGACAUUGUUAUGAGACCACAUCAGCUGAACUUUCCAAGGACUGCUUCGUAAUUUGUGAACGAAAAGCAGCAAUAAAAUUCAUGUCUGUUAUAA